Molecule: ribosomal RNA, 911 nt
Filed under: Pectobacterium atrosepticum
Lineage: Bacteria; Pseudomonadati; Pseudomonadota; Gammaproteobacteria; Enterobacterales; Pectobacteriaceae
Description: partial 23S ribosomal RNA
Rfam family: Eukaryotic large subunit ribosomal RNA
Source: RNAcentral
AUAUCAAUAAGCGCAGGAAAAGAAACUAACUAGGAUGCCUUCAGUAACGGCGAGCGAAGCAGGCAUAGCUCAAAUUUGUAAUCUGGCGCCUUUGGCGUCCGAGUUGUAUUUUCUAGAAGCGAGUUCGGCGACAGCUCCUACCCAAGUCCGUUGGAACGCGGCGUCAUGGAGGGUGAGAAUCCCGUGAAUGGUAGGAUGUCUGCUGCUAUGUGAACCGCCUUCGAAGAGUCGAGUUGUUUGGGAAUGCAGCUCUAAAUGGGAGGUAAAUUUCUUCUAAAGCUAAAUAUUGGCCAGAGACCGAUAGCGAACAAGUAGAGUGAUCGAAAGAUGAAAAGAACUUUGAAAAGAGAGUUAAACAGUACGUGAAAUUGUUGAAAGGGAAGGGCAUUUGAUCAGACAUGGUGUUUUGCGCCCUCUGCUCCUUGUGGGUGGGGGACUCUCGCAGCUCACUGGGCCAACAUCAGUUUUGGUGGUCGGACAAAUCCGUAGGAAUGUAGCUUACCUCGGUAAGUGUUAUAGCCUGCGGGAAUACGGCCAGCCGGGACUGAGGACUGCGACUUUUGUCAAGGAUGUUGGCAUAAUGGUUAUAUGCCGCCCGUCUUGAAACACGGACCAAGGAGUCUAACGUCUAUGCGAGUGUUUGGGUGUAAAACCCGUACGCGUAAUGAAAGUGAACGUAGGUUGGGGCCCUCUCGGGGGUGCACAAUCGACCGAUCCUGAUGUUUUCAGAUGGAUUUGAGUAAGAGCAUAGCUGUUGGGACCCGAAAGAUGGUGAACUAUGCCUGAAUAGGGCGAAGCCAGAGGAAACUCUGGUGGAGGCUCGUAGCGGUUCUGACGUGCAAAUCGAUCGUCAAAUUUGGGUAUAGGGGCGAAAGACUAAUCGAACCAUCUAGUAGCUGGUUCCUGCCGAA